This 467-nucleotide ribosomal RNA is filed under the name uncultured bacterium. RNAcentral describes it as "partial 16S ribosomal RNA". It matches the Rfam family "Bacterial small subunit ribosomal RNA", at positions 29 to 507 of the family's 1533-position model. The record is from RNAcentral.
ACGAACGCUGGCGGCGUGCUUAACACAUGCAAGUCGAACGGAAAGGCCCUGCUUUUGUGGGGUGCUCGAGUGGCGAACGGGUGAGUAACACGUGAGUAACCUGCCCUUGAGUUUGGGAUAACUUCAGGAAACUGGGGCUAAUACCGGAUAGGAGCUCCUGCUGCAUGGUGGGGGUUGGAAAGUUUCGGCGGUUGGGGAUGGACUCGCGGCUUAUCAGCUUGUUGGUGGGGUAGUGGCUUACCAAGGCUUUGACGGGUAGCCGGCCUGAGAGGGUGACCGGCCACAUUGGGACUGAGAUACGGCCCAGACUCCUACGGGAGGCAGCAGUGGGGAAUAUUGCACAAUGGGCGGAAGCCUGAUGCAGCAACGCCGCGUGCGGGAUGACGGCCUUCGGGUUGUAAACCGCUUUCGCCUGUGACGAAGCGUGAGUGACGGUAAUGGGUAAAGAAGCACCGGCUAACUACGUG